Molecule: small nucleolar RNA, 88 nt
Organism: Selaginella moellendorffii
Lineage: Eukaryota; Viridiplantae; Streptophyta; Lycopodiopsida; Selaginellales; Selaginellaceae
Source: Rfam
UUUGGGCAGAGGAUGAUAGAUUCUUGAUGGGUAAUUUGCGGCUGACCACAUUGGUGUGAUGCCUCACCUUGGAGACCUGAUGCCCAUU